Humulus lupulus (European hop) is the source of this 107-nucleotide small nucleolar RNA. NCBI's taxonomy places the organism in Eukaryota, Viridiplantae, Streptophyta, Magnoliopsida, Rosales, Cannabaceae. The record is from RefSeq and is a predicted model, not a curated record.
AUGCCGUGAUGAGGACAUUUUCUCAGUAAUUUCUUAAACCUCUCCCAUGCUUCGUACAAUGAUUCCCAAUCAGUCUGGAAGAAAUUAUUAAUCUCUCCCCUCAAUCU